GACGAACGCUGGCGGCGUGCUUAACACAUGCAAGUUGAACGGAAAGGCCCUGCUUUUGUGGGGUGCUCGAGUGGCGAACGGGUGAGUAACACGUGAGUAACCUGCCCUUGACUUUGGGAUAACUUCAGGAAACUGGGGCUAAUACCGGAUAGGAGCUCCUGCUGCAUGGUGGGGGUUGGAAAGUUUCGGCGGUUGGGGAUGGACUCGCGGCUUAUCAGCUUGUUGGUGGGGUAGUGGCUUACCAAGGCUUUGACGGGUAGCCGGCCUGAGAGGGUGACCGGCCACAUUGGGACUGAGAUACGGCCCAGACUCCUACGGGAGGCAGCAGUGGGAAAUAUUGCACAAUGGGCGGAAGCCUGAUGCAGCAACGCCGCGUGCGGGAUGACGGCCUUCGGGUUGUAAACCGCUUUCGCCUGUGACGAAGCGUGAGUGACGGUAAUGGGUAAAGAAGCACCGGCUAACUACGUG
RNAcentral lists this ribosomal RNA (468 nucleotides) under uncultured bacterium. RNAcentral describes it as "partial 16S ribosomal RNA". It matches the Rfam family "Bacterial small subunit ribosomal RNA", at positions 28 to 507 of the family's 1533-position model. The record is from RNAcentral.